AUUGAACGCUGGCGGCAGGCCUAACACAUGCAAGUCGAGCGGUAGAGAGGUGCUUGCAUCUCUUGAGAGCGGCGGACGGGUGAGUAAUGCCUAGGAAUCUGCCUGGUGGUGGGGGAUAACGUUCGGAAACGGACGCUAAUACCGCAUACGUCCUACGGGAGAAAGCGGGGGAUCUUCGGACCUCGCGCCAUUAGAUGAGCCUAGGUCGGAUUAGCUAGUUGGUGAGGUAAUGGCUCACCAAGGCGACGAUCCGUAACUGGUCUGAGAGGAUGAUCAGUCACACUGGAACUGAGACACGGUCCAGACUCCUACGGGAGGCAGCAGUGGGGAAUAUUGGACAAUGGGCGAAAGACCUGAUCCAGCCAUGCCGCGUGUGUGAAGAAGGUCUUCGGAUUGUAAAGCACUUUAAGUUGGGUAGGGAA
RNAcentral lists this ribosomal RNA (422 nucleotides) under uncultured bacterium. RNAcentral describes it as "bacterial SSU rRNA". It matches the Rfam family "Bacterial small subunit ribosomal RNA", at positions 30 to 451 of the family's 1533-position model. The record is from RNAcentral.